Molecule: transfer RNA, 69 nt
Filed under: Faughnia haani
Lineage: Eukaryota; Metazoa; Arthropoda; Malacostraca; Stomatopoda; Parasquillidae
Description: tRNA-Trp
Rfam family: tRNA
About the family: Transfer RNA (tRNA) molecules are approximately 80 nucleotides in length.
Source: RNAcentral
AAGAGCUUAAGUUAAACAAACUAAAAGACUUCAAACCUUUCAAUAUGAGUACAACUCUCUUAGCUCUUA